Molecule: ribosomal RNA, 497 nt
Filed under: uncultured bacterium
Lineage: Bacteria
Description: partial 16S ribosomal RNA
Rfam family: Bacterial small subunit ribosomal RNA
Source: RNAcentral
GAUGAACGCUGGCGGCGUGCCUAAUACAUGCAAGUCGAGCGAACGGACGAGAAGCUUGCUUCUCUGAUGUUAGCGGCGGACGGGUGAGUAACACGUGGAUAACCUACCUAUAAGACUGGGAUAACUUCGGGAAACCGGAGCUAAUACCGGAUAAUAUUUUGAACCGCAUGGUUCAAAAGUGAAAGACGGACUUGCUGUCACUUAUAGAUGGAUCCGUGCUGCAUUAGCUAGUUGGUAAGGUAACGGCUUACCAAGGCAACGAUGCAUAGCCGACCUGAGAGGGUGAUCGGCCACACUGGAACUGAGACACGGUCCAGACUCCUACGGGAGGCAGCAGUAGGGAAUCUUCCGCAAUGGGCGAAAGCCUGACGGAGCAACGCCGCGUGAGUGAUGAAGGUCUUCGGAUCGUAAAACUCUGUUAUUAGGGAAGAACAUAUGUGUAAGUAACUGUGCACAUCUUGACGGUACCUAAUCAGAAAGCCACGGCUAACUACGUG